UAGUCCACGCCGUAAACGAUGAGCACUAGUUAUGGGAGGUAUUAACCCCUUCCGUGACGCAGCUAACGCAUUAAGUGCUCCGCCUGGGGAGUACGGUCGCAAGACUAAAAACUCAAAGGAAUUGACGGGGGCCCGCACAAGCGGUGGAUUAUGUGGUUUAAUUCGAAGCAACGCGCAGAACCUUACCUAGGCUUGAAAUCCGGAGAAUCUAACAGAGAUGUUGGAGUGCCCCUUGGGGAAUUCCGUGACAGGCGCUGCAUGGCUGUCGUCAGCUCGUGUUGUGAAAUGUUGGGUUAAGUCUCGCAACGAGCGGCAACCCCGUGUCUUUAGUUGCCAGCAUUAAGUUGGGCACUCUAGAGAGACUGCCUGGGUUAACCAGGAGGAAGGUGGGGAUGACGUCAAGUCCUCAUGGCCCUUAUGUCUAGGGCUACACACGUAAUACAAUGGCAAGUACAGAGGGAUAGCGAACUCGCGAGGGGGAGCAAAUACUCAAAAAGCUUAGUCUCAGUCCGGAUUGG
Molecule: ribosomal RNA, 518 nt
Filed under: uncultured bacterium
Lineage: Bacteria
Description: bacterial SSU rRNA
Rfam family: Bacterial small subunit ribosomal RNA
Source: RNAcentral